CUGGCGGACAGCGACCAAGAACUGCCGCCUCCUUAUCCAGGGUGUGACGCGACACCAUGCCUAUUGGACGGUUUGCAGCCAGGAGGGAAUAAUCCGAUUGU
Rhagoletis zephyria (snowberry fruit fly) is the source of this 101-nucleotide long non-coding RNA. RefSeq lists it as uncharacterized. NCBI's taxonomy places the organism in Eukaryota, Metazoa, Arthropoda, Insecta, Diptera, Tephritidae. The record is from RefSeq and is a predicted model, not a curated record.